Molecule: ribosomal RNA, 188 nt
Filed under: uncultured Staphylococcus sp.
Lineage: Bacteria; Bacillati; Bacillota; Bacilli; Caryophanales; Staphylococcaceae
Description: partial 16S ribosomal RNA
Rfam family: Bacterial small subunit ribosomal RNA
Source: RNAcentral
CGGAAACCGGAGCUAAUACCGGAUAAUAUUUGAACCGCAUGGUUCAAAAGUGAAAGACGGUCUUGCUGUCACUUAUAGAUGGAUCCGCGCUGCAUUAGCUAGUUGGUAAGGUAACGGCUUACCAAGGCAACGAUGCAUAGCCGACCUGAGAGGGUGAUCGGCCACACUGGAACUGAGACACGGUCCAG